CAAAGUGCUGUUCGUGCAGGUAGUGUGAUUACCCAACCUACUGCUGAGCUAGCACUUCCCG
This 61-nucleotide microRNA precursor is filed under the name Callithrix jacchus (white-tufted-ear marmoset). Its description in RNAcentral is "precursor 2_1968 miRNA". It matches the Rfam family "mir-17 microRNA precursor family", at positions 11 to 71 of the family's 80-position model. Rfam says of the family: This family represents the microRNA (miRNA) precursor mir-17, family, which includes mir-20, mir-91, and mir-103. miRNAs are transcribed as ~70nt precursors (modelled here) and subsequently processed by the Dicer enzyme to give a ~22nt product. In this case the mature sequence comes from the 3' arm of the precursor. Lineage: Eukaryota; Metazoa; Chordata; Mammalia; Primates; Cebidae. The record is from RNAcentral.